AUGGCAAGCUCCCUGGCCUUCAAGCUUGUUCUGGUGGUCCUCGGGUGUACGCUGGUUGGUGCACCCUUAGCCCAAGCUGUCAUACCAUGCAGCAGGGUGUCACAAUACGUGGGACCCUGCAUAAGUUACUUGAAGACGGGUGGGGCCGUGCCUGUACCAUGCUGCAAUGGGAUUAGGUCCCUGAUCGGCUUGGCUGGGACCACACCUGACCGCCAGGGCGUGUGUAGGUGCUUGGUCGCGACUGCUAAAUCAAUCACUGGGAUCAAGGGUGAACUUGUUAGCGGACUCCCCAGGGCUUGUAAUGUGAGGCUUCCUUACCCCAUUGGACCCAACGUUGACUGCAACCGG
RNAcentral lists this long non-coding RNA (348 nucleotides) under Prunus dulcis (almond). RNAcentral's name for it is "sRNA ncRNA". The record is from RNAcentral. Lineage: Eukaryota; Viridiplantae; Streptophyta; Magnoliopsida; Rosales; Rosaceae.